AAGAGACAGCAGUAGCCGCGGGAAUACAGAGGGUGCGAGCGUUAAUCGGAUUUACUGGGCGUAAAGCGUGCGUAGGCGGCUUUUUAAGUCGGAUGUGAAAUCCCUGAGCUUAACUUAGGAAUUGCAUUCGAUACUGGGAAGCUAGAGUAUGGGAGAGGAUGGUAGAAUUCCAGGUGUAGCGGUGAAAUGCGUAGAGAUCUGGAGGAAUACCGAUGGCGAAGGCAGCCAUCUGGCCUAAUACUGACGCUGAGGUACGAAAGCAUGGGGAGCAAACAGGAUUAGAUACCCCUGUAGUCCCUGUCUCUUAUAC
This 310-nucleotide ribosomal RNA is filed under the name uncultured bacterium. Its description in RNAcentral is "partial 16S ribosomal RNA". It matches the Rfam family "Bacterial small subunit ribosomal RNA", at positions 503 to 807 of the family's 1533-position model. The record is from RNAcentral.